UACGUAGGGUGCGAGCGUUGUCCGGAAUUAUUGGGCGUAAAGAGCUCGUAGGCGGUCUGUCGCGUCUGCUGUGAAAACCCGAGGCUCAACCUCGGGCCUGCAGUGGGUACGGGCAGACUAGAGUGCUGUAGGGGAGACUGGAAUUCCUGGUGUAGCGGUGAAAUGCGCAGAUAUCAGGAGGAACACCGGUGGCGAAGGCGGGUCUCUGGGCCGAUACUGACGCUGAGGAGCGAAAGCGUGGGUAGCAAACAGG
RNAcentral lists this ribosomal RNA (253 nucleotides) under uncultured bacterium. RNAcentral's name for it is "partial 16S ribosomal RNA". It matches the Rfam family "Bacterial small subunit ribosomal RNA", at positions 524 to 776 of the family's 1533-position model. The record is from RNAcentral.